Molecule: transfer RNA, 76 nt
Filed under: Burkholderia cenocepacia
Lineage: Bacteria; Pseudomonadati; Pseudomonadota; Betaproteobacteria; Burkholderiales; Burkholderiaceae
Description: tRNA-Met
Rfam family: tRNA
About the family: Transfer RNA (tRNA) molecules are approximately 80 nucleotides in length. Their secondary structure includes four short double-helical elements and three loops (D, anti-codon, and T loops). Further hydrogen bonds mediate the characteristic L-shaped molecular structure. tRNAs have two regions of fundamental functional importance: the anti-codon, which is responsible for specific mRNA codon recognition, and the 3' end, to which the tRNAs corresponding amino acid is attached (by aminoacyl-tRNA synthetases). tRNAs cope with the degeneracy of the genetic code in two manners: having more than one tRNA (with a specific anti-codon) for a particular amino acid; and 'wobble' base-pairing, i.e. permitting non-standard base-pairing at the 3rd anti-codon position.
Source: RNAcentral
CGCGGGGUGGAGCAGUUGGAAGCUCGACGGCCUCAUAAGCCGUAGGUCGUAGGUUCAAAUCCUACCUCCGCAACCA